AGAGUUUGAUCAUGGCUCAGGAUGAACGCUGGCGGCGUGCCUAAUACAUGCAAGUCGAACGAGAUCUUCGGAUCUAGUGGCGAACGGGUGAGUAACACGUUGGUACCUACCCCGAAGUGGGGAAUAACUGCCCGAAAGGGUGGCUAAUACCGCAUAAUACCGCAAGGUUAAAGCAGUAAUGCGCUUCGGGAGGGGCCUGCGUCCCAUUAGCUUGUUGGUGAGGUAAUUGCUCACCAAGGCGACGAUGGGUAGCUGGAUCGAGAGGUUGACCAGCCACACUGGGACUGAGAUACGGCCCAGACUCCUACGGGAGGCAGCAGUAAGGAAUCUUCCACAAUGGACGAAAGUCUGAUGGAGCAACGCCGCGUGCAGGAUGACGGUCUUCGGAUUGUAAACUGCUUUUAUAUGGGAAGAUUAUGACGGUACCAUAUGAAUAAGCACCGGCUAACUACGUGCCAGCAGCCGCGGUAAUACGUAGGGUGCAAGCGUUAUCCGGAAUCACUGGGCGUAAAGCGUGCGUAGGUGGCGCAUUAAGUGAGAUGUUAAAUCGUGUGGCUCAACCAUAUCGAUGCAUCUCAUACUGGUGUGCUAGAGGACGGCAGAGGCAAGUGGAAUUGGUAGUGUAGCAGUGAAAUGCGUAGAUAUUACCAGGAACACCAAUGGCGAAGGCGCUUGCUGGGCCACUCCUGACACUGAGGUACGAAAGCGUGGGGAGCGAACAGGAUUAGAUACCCUAGUAGUCC
This 743-nucleotide ribosomal RNA is filed under the name uncultured bacterium. Its description in RNAcentral is "bacterial SSU rRNA". It matches the Rfam family "Bacterial small subunit ribosomal RNA", at positions 8 to 796 of the family's 1533-position model. The record is from RNAcentral.